RNAcentral lists this ribosomal RNA (778 nucleotides) under uncultured bacterium. Its description in RNAcentral is "bacterial SSU rRNA". It matches the Rfam family "Bacterial small subunit ribosomal RNA", at positions 28 to 808 of the family's 1533-position model. The record is from RNAcentral.
GAUGAACGCUGGCGGCGUGCUUAACACAUGCAAGUCGAGCGAAGCAGUUAAGAAGAUUCUUCGGAUGAAACUUGAUUGACUGAGCGGCGGACGGGUGAGUAACGCGUGGGUGACCUGCCCCAUACCGGGGGAUAACAGCUGGAAACGGCUGCUAAUACCGCAUAAGCGCACAGAGCUGCAUGGCUCAGUGUGAAAAACUCCGGUGGUAUGGGAUGGGCCCGCGUCUAAUUAGGCAGUUGGCGGGGUAACGGCCCACCAAACCGACGAUCAGUAGCCGGCCUGAGAGGGCGACCGGCCACAUUGGGACUGAGACACGGCCCAAACUCCUACGGGAGGCAGCAGUGGGGAAUAUUGCUCAAUGGGGGAAACCCUGAUGCAGCGACGCCGCGUGAGCGAAGAAGUAUUUCGGUAUGUAAAGCUUUAUCAGCAGGGAAGAUAAUGACGGUACCUGACUAAGAAGCCCCGGCUAACUACGUGCCAGCAGCCGCGGUAAUACGUAGGGGGCAAGCGUUAUCCGGAUUUACUGGGUGUAAAGGGAGCGUAGACGGCAAGGCAAGUCUGAUGUGAAAACCCAGGGCUUAACCCUGGGACUGCAUUGGAAACUGUCUGGCUCGAGUGCCGGAGAGGUAAGCGGAAUUCCUAGUGUAGCGGUGAAAUGCGUAGAUAUUAGGAAGAACACCAGUGGCGAAGGCGGCUUACUGGACGGUAACUGACGUUGAGGCUCGAAAGCGUGGGGAGCAAACAGGAUUAGAUACCCUGGUAGUCCACGCCGUAAACG